GCGGACGUGGCGAAAUCGGUAGACGCAGCGGACUUAAAAUCCGCUUCCCUCAGGGAGUGUGGGUUCAAGUCCCACCGUCCGCACCA
Molecule: transfer RNA, 86 nt
Filed under: Sphingomonas sp. Leaf25
Lineage: Bacteria; Pseudomonadati; Pseudomonadota; Alphaproteobacteria; Sphingomonadales; Sphingomonadaceae
Description: tRNA-Leu
Rfam family: tRNA
About the family: Transfer RNA (tRNA) molecules are approximately 80 nucleotides in length. Their secondary structure includes four short double-helical elements and three loops (D, anti-codon, and T loops).
Source: RNAcentral